Molecule: ribosomal RNA, 497 nt
Filed under: uncultured bacterium
Lineage: Bacteria
Description: partial 16S ribosomal RNA
Rfam family: Bacterial small subunit ribosomal RNA
Source: RNAcentral
GAUGAACGCUGGCGGCGUGCCUAAUACAUGCAAGUCGAGCGAACGGACGAGAAGCUUGCUUCUCUGAUGUUAGCGGCGGACGGGUGAGUAACACGUGGAUAACCUACCUAUAAGACUGGGAUAACUUCGGGAAACCGGAGCUAAUACCGGAUGAUAUUUUGAACCGCAUGGUUCAAAAGUGAAAGACGGUCUUGCUGUCACUUAUAGAUGGAUCCGCGCUGCAUUAGCUAGUUGGUAGGGUAACGGCUUACCAAGGCAACGAUGCAUAGCCGGCCUGAGAGGGUGAUCGGCCACACUGGAACUGAGACACGGUCCAGACUCCUACGGGAGGCAGCAGUAGGGAAUCUUCCGCAAUGGGCGAAAGCCUGACGGAGCAACGCCGCGUGAGUGAUGAAGGUCUUCGGAUCGUAAAACUCUGUUAUUAGGGAAGAACAUAUGUGUAAGUAACUGUGCACAUCUUGACGGUACCUAAUCAGAAAGCCACGGCUAACUACGUG